RNAcentral lists this ribosomal RNA (470 nucleotides) under uncultured bacterium. RNAcentral describes it as "SSU rRNA". It matches the Rfam family "Bacterial small subunit ribosomal RNA", at positions 26 to 518 of the family's 1533-position model. The record is from RNAcentral.
AGGAUAAACGCUGGCGGCGUGCCUAACACAUGCAAGUCGAACGUCUCUUUCUUCGGGAAGAGGAGUGGCGGACGGGUGAGGAACACGUGGGAACCUGCCCUUCAGUGAGGAAUACCGGCGAGAAAUCGCCGACAAGACCGCAUAGCCCUCUCUGGUGAGAGCCAGAGAAGGAAAGCCUCGCAAGAGGCGCUGGAGGAGGGGCCUGCGUCCGAUUAGCUAGUUGGUGGGGUAAGAGCCUACCAAGGCGUCGAUCGGUAGCUGGUCUGAGAGGACGAUCAGCCACACUGGGAUUGAGAACGGCCCAGACUCCUACGGGGGGCAGCAGUGAGGAAUUUUCGGCAAUGGGGGAAACCCUGACCGAGCAACGCCGCGUGCAGGAAGACGGCCUCGGGUUGUAAACUGCUUUCUUUGGGUACGAGCAAGGACGGUACCAGAGGAAUCAGCCCGGCUCACUACGUGCCAGCAGCCGC